This 253-nucleotide ribosomal RNA is filed under the name uncultured bacterium. RNAcentral's name for it is "partial 16S ribosomal RNA". It matches the Rfam family "Bacterial small subunit ribosomal RNA", at positions 524 to 776 of the family's 1533-position model. The record is from RNAcentral.
GACAGAGGGUGCGAACGUUGUUCGGAAUUACUGGGCGUAAAGCGCAUGUAGGCGGCAAUGCAAGUCGGGCGUGAAAUCCCACGGCUCAACCGUGGAAGUGCACUCGAAACUGCAUAACUAGAGUCCUGGAGAGGAAGGUGGAAUGCUUGGUGUAGAGGUGAAAUUCGUAGAUAUCAAGCGGAACACCGGUGGCGAAGGCGGCCUUCUGGACAGUGACUGACGCUGAGAUGCGAAAGCGUGGGGAGCAAACAGG